Molecule: ribosomal RNA, 434 nt
Filed under: Helcococcus ovis
Lineage: Bacteria; Bacillati; Bacillota; Tissierellia; Tissierellales; Peptoniphilaceae
Description: bacterial SSU rRNA
Rfam family: Bacterial small subunit ribosomal RNA
Source: RNAcentral
ACUGGCGGACGGGUGAGUAACACGUAUGCAACCUACCUAUUAUUGGGGGAUAGCCUUUGGAAACGGAGAUUAAUACCGCAUAAGACAGUAACAUGGCAUCAUGUAGCUGUUAAAGCUUUGGCGAUGAUAGAUGGGCAUGCGUCCAAUUAGUUAGUUGGUGAGGUAAUGGCUCACCAAGACGAUGAUUGGUAGGGGAUCUGAGAGGAUAAUCCCCCACACUGGCACUGAGAUACGGGCCAGACUCCUACGGGAGGCAGCAGUAGGGAAUAUUGGGCAAUGGACGGAAGUCUGACCCAGCCAUGCCGCGUGCAGGAUGAAGGCGUUAUGCGUUGUAAACUGCUUUUUUAUAGGAAGAAGGAGACCUUGCGAGGUUUGGUGACGGUACUAUAAGAAUAAGCACCGGCUAACUCCGUGCCAGCAGCCGCGGUAAUACG